UUUAAAUUGAUCAAAGUUUUAUUGCACUUUUGCUGUUAACAAUUUACUCAAUCUACAGCUUCAAUUAAGUAUCCCUUAAAUUAGUCAUUGAAUAUUUAGGGAAAAAUAUUCAAUAAGUAUAUUUAUAAAGUUAGUUGCAUUUUUUACAUACAUAAUAGUCAUAAUAGCAGUUCUACAUAAUAUAAUUUCAUACCGGAAUACGAUACGUUUCUUAACCUUAACUGUAUAUAAUUUAUUUAUUGAAGCUUCACUGAACCGUAAAAUUGAUGAUGAUCCUUGAUACUGGCAGCAUGACUUUUCAGCCGACAGUAGAAAUUUUGUUGUUUGCCUACGUCUUGUAAUUGUGAAAAGGAGUAUUAAAUGAUUAGGUUUUUGUAACCCGUUGGUAUUUACAGUGCAGACAUGGAUACAGUUUUUGUUUGUCAUUUUGUGUUAUAAAUAUUAGGAAGGUGUGCUUUAUCCUGUUGAAGUUUGUUGAAUGAAAUCGCAGAUAAUAAUCUAAUAUCAACUUGAAUCAAACAUAUUGAUGGAUUUAUUACAAUUACGCUGGAACGUUUCUGAAGAGUUAUUUGAUAACAAGAAAGUGACGUAAAAGUACUUGUGUAGUUAUGCAACACGUAAAAUAAAAAUACACAAAAAAUUAUAUGAAAAGGAUCUAAAGAUUUCGAGAUUUUGUGCAUGCUGCUUACUGUUUGGUGUGAGAAUAUGUACAUAAUUCCCACAGGAAUGUACAUUUCUUUAAAGGUAGUAAACUUGUGGCUGUUGUGAUGUGUACUGACAAUUAAGUGAAAUAAAAUAAAAAGACUUAUAGCUAAAUGUUCAGCUGAUUUUUGAAAUGUGGAUAAGUGAUACAUGUGUACUAAUAAUAAAAUAUUAAUUUAUACAUCA
This is a long non-coding RNA of Mytilus trossulus (common blue mussel), 888 nucleotides long. RefSeq lists it as uncharacterized. Lineage: Eukaryota; Metazoa; Mollusca; Bivalvia; Mytilida; Mytilidae. The transcript has 3 exons. The record is from RefSeq and is a predicted model, not a curated record.